GGUGAUAUAGCACAGCGGUAGUGCAUCUCCUUCAUACGGAGCAGGUCGCUAGUUCAAAUCUAGCUAUCACCA
Molecule: non-coding RNA, 72 nt
Organism: Daphnia pulex (common water flea)
Lineage: Eukaryota; Metazoa; Arthropoda; Branchiopoda; Diplostraca; Daphniidae
Source: the annotation of a RefSeq genome assembly